UAACAAAAAUCAAAUUAAGCACCCUUGACAUGAGUGAAUGUCACACACACACAAAGUUGGAUCACUGAUGCUGAAGAACAUGAAUUCUGCCAGAAUUUAUGACAAAUUGGCGAAGUAAAUUACACUUUUUGCUCGUUGUCAAGAAAGGUAAAAAUGCAGUUAAGCUCCAUUUCGUUUUAGAUUUAUAAAAAAUAAAAUUCAGGAAAAUAUGUAUUGGUAUAGAAGGAUUUUGUCCAGACUUUCCAUCCCCUUUAACAGAACUAGAUAGUCCUUUUGUCCGAAAUUGCCAAAACUAAUUAAUUUUCUUGAGACAUUUUUGUCAGCGAGACUUUACUAUGGACACGUGCAGUUUUGCAAACAUUGACUGGAGAAAGAGAUGUGACUAAAAACCAUGAAUAAUGCAACUAAAUCAUUGAUACAGAAUUGAUUUUUUUAUAAAUUGUUGGUUGGGUCAAACGGAUUCAACUAUCAAGUACCUGAUAUGCUGUGGAAGGUAAGCAGAGGGAUCAAUCUCAAAUCUUGGAACGAGAUCUGAAGCACCGAGUAUCAGAACAAUUCCAUCCCUCAUGACAGUGUAUAACAAUUCAGCAUCACAAGAAAAUGCAGCAUGGGCAAUCCGUGCACAGAAGUUUCCAACGACCCACUGAAAUUAUAGCAUACGUAAAUUGUAAAGUCACGUGUAUGACAGCAUCGAAGCACUUCUCUUCUAAACGUGUCAAAGAGAGGAAGAGACCUGCUUAACACACUGUAGUUUUGUUGUUUCGUAUAUUGCAAGUUGAGUCUCAUGUACAGCAAGAAAGUGUCUUUCAUCCUUGUCAAAUUGGACAUGAGUCUCCGAUAGUUCUGAAGGUAACCAACCGGAGGAAAUCUCUAAAAAUGUGUUGUUCUUUUUCUCCCACGUGAUUGAAUCCCAUACAACAAUCUGCAGAAUAAUGGAGGAAAAAUAGAUUAUUUAAAUAUGUUUACGACAACAAUCUUAAAGUUGGCAACCUCGAAAAAGUCGAUCAAUUGUAUCUCUCUACGUCAAGAUUGAUUUUAUUUUCAAACUUGGAAAAUGUAGUAUUCAUAGAACUGUAUGGUAUAAUAAACAAGAUUUUAGUUUCUUUUUUCUUAGUUCAUACAAUCUAGUACUAUACAAUUCUCCCUACCAAGCAAGCCAAUAGCGUCUAAAUAAUAUAUAUUUGACAACCUGAGUUCAUUUAAGCUGGUAAAUAAAUUAUUAUACUUGAAAACAUUUAUUGAUUCACAUUCAAAGGAGGAAUCUGGCUGUCCUUCUGCACGAUCAACCAAUAGAAUAUAUAGAAUACCAACCUGAGCAUCCAAUCCAGAAGAGACAAGUACAUUUAACACGGUUGAGAAAGAAAGGCUGCUAAUUCUCUUAGAAUGGCCCUUAAGCUUAUUUGUCAACUGCAAAAUGAAGGCAAUGGCUAAAUGCUGCACAUUUCUUCUUAAUCUUUCUAACUCUAAUAUAAGUGAAUGUUGGACACAUAUAUCAUACCUCGUCCACACGGACAUUAUAGAUGAGAAUUGUUGAAUCAUCCAUACCAAUAGCGAUUAUGUUGUUAUCAGGCGGAUAGAAAACAAUACAUGUUGCUGCAGGUGGGGAUUGCAUGAAACUUCUCAUUCUCUACAGUAAUCGAGCAAAUUGGAAAUGGUAGGUUAGUUAUUUCUAUAUGUCGAGCAUCCUAAAGUUCAAUGAUAUGAGAGCUCUAAGUUAGGUGCUACCCUGUGAAUUGAACAUAGAACAUUUUGCCAAUCUUUCACAAGCAUCCAAAGCAGCUACAACUUUUAGUAUUACCUUAAAAAUCAACAUGUUGAACAAAGAAACCAUCUUUCCAGAUGCUGAGACAACAUAAGAAUCAUUCUUGGACAAACAAAAGCACGGUGAGACUAAGUCGAUGUUACUUUCGGGAAGGUCAUUGAUCAUCAGCAACCCACUCUUUGGUUGCCACAGUUGAGGGACACACUUUGUAGUUGCCUGUUGCAGCAAAUACUCAGUUACUCUUUAAACAAUGACUGGCUGAUCAAAUCGAAGAUACAUAUAUACAAGCACUUGCAUAGGUGCAGAGAGAGAGAGAGAGAGAGAGAGGCUCAAAAUGCAUUCCAUUACAGCAAAACAGUUGAAUUUGAAUCUAUCCAAACUCAAAUCUCUUUAUACCAUUUUUUCUCACCAACUCCAACGUUUGUGUCUACACAACCAGUUCUUGAAUGCAUGCUCAAUUUCUUGAUAUCUUCAGACGUGUUCGGUGCAAGUACCUUUUUUCUCUCGCUAAACCUGUCCAAUAUUGUCUAAUCCAGCCUACCAAACAUGCCCUCAAUUUUCGAUCUGGAGGGGCGCAGUCCAUGUACUUUCAGAUUCCAUGGGUUCAAUGAUGACGACUCCACCAUCCGAUAACCCUAAGGCAAACUGGUUUGCCUUUUGUGGAUGAGCGGCAACCACCAGUGGAUAUACACGAGUUCUGCAUCCACCAUAACAAAAAUCAAAUUAAGCACCCUUGACAUGAGUGAAUGUCACACACACACAAAGUUGGAUCACUGAUGCUGAAGAACAUGAAUUCUGCCAGAAUUUAUGACAAAUUGGCGAAGUAAAUUACACUUUUUGCUCGUUGUCAAGAAAGGUAAAAAUGCAGUUAAGCUCCAUUUCGUUUUAGAUUUAUAAAAAAUAAAAUUCAGGAAAAUAUGUAUUGGUAUAGAAGGAUUUUGUCCAGACUUUCCAUCCCCUUUAACAGAACUAGAUAGUCCUUUUGUCCGAAAUUGCCAAAACUAAUUAAUUUUCUUGAGACAUUUUUGUCAGCGAGACUUUACUAUGGACACGUGCAGUUUUGCAAACAUUGACUGGAGAAAGAGAUGUGACUAAAAACCAUGAAUAAUGCAACUAAAUCAUUGAUACAGAAUUGAUUUUUUUAUAAAUUGUUGGUUGGGUCAAACGGAUUCAACUAUCAAGUACCUGAUAUGCUGUGGAAGGUAAGCAGAGGGAUCAAUCUCAAAUCUUGGAACGAGAUCUGAAGCACCGAGUAUCAGAACAAUUCCAUCCCUCAUGACAGUGUAUAACAAUUCAGCAUCACAAGAAAAUGCAGCAUGGGCAAUCCGUGCACAGAAGUUUCCAACGACCC
RNAcentral lists this long non-coding RNA (3113 nucleotides) under Olea europaea (common olive). RNAcentral describes it as "long non-coding RNA (OEUR_LNC005117)". The record is from RNAcentral. Lineage: Eukaryota; Viridiplantae; Streptophyta; Magnoliopsida; Lamiales; Oleaceae.